Lupinus albus (white lupine) is the source of this 590-nucleotide non-coding RNA. The record is from the annotation of a GenBank genome assembly. NCBI's taxonomy places the organism in Eukaryota, Viridiplantae, Streptophyta, Magnoliopsida, Fabales, Fabaceae.
UUGAAGAUAUAAUAUAACUUACCAGUAUUUUGUAAGAUGGAUUGUGCAAUCACAAGAAUAAAAAAUAAUUAGUUGAAGAUAUAAUGAUAUAACAAUGCAAACAACUAAUGAUAAUCUAUAUACAGCAAAACAUGAUCUAACAAUCAAAUCCCGCAUUCCUCACAUUUUAUUUUUCUUGCUACCUUUCUUUUGAGUCCUUUUUAGUUUCAAACCCUUUACGGAAAGCACAUCAGAGGCACUCUUGCCUUCAAGCUUCUUUGUCAUCCUUACAACACUAGUCAUGCCUUUUCUAGCGGCAGCCCGCUGUUGAGGUCGACGGCUCAUCAUUUUCCGAUCAAGUGGCCAAUAUGCAUAAGUGACUAUCACGCUCACUCCCAAUAUCAAAAUCGGUGUCAGGCUUUACCUUCCUUCUUUCCUCUUCCUCGCAUAUAAUCAACCGUCCUUCGGAAUCUAGCUCUAUCUCAUCAUCUGACCUUGAUUUUCUUUUAAGAUAAUCUGAGGAUCUAAGGGCUGACCUUGUUUUCUGCUGAUCCAGUAAAUCAAGUGGCUCAUCAUCUGAUUGGUCAGAGAAGUGCUCAUGCAAAUUCUUC